CCUACGGGAGGCAGCAGUGGGGAAUAUUGGGCAAUGGGCGCAAGCCUGACCCAGCAACGCCGCGUGAAGGAAGAAGGCUUUCGGGUUGUAAACUUCUUUUAUCAGAGACGAAGCAAGGGACGGUACCUGAUGAAUAAGCCACGGCUAACUCCGUGCCAGCAGCCGCGGUAAUACGUAGGGGGCAAGCGUUAUCCGGAUUUGCUGGGAGUAAGGGGCGUGUAGGCGGGAUUGCAAGUCAGAUGUGAAAACUAUGGGCUCAACCCAUAGCCUGCAUUUGAAACUGUACGUCUUGAGUGCUGGAGAGGCAAUCGGAAUUCCGGGUGUAGCGGUGAAAUGCGUAGAGAUAAGGAGGAACACUAGUGGCGAAGGCGGAUUGCUGGACAGUAACUGACGCUGAGGCGCGAAAGCGUGGGGAGCAAACAGGAUUAGAUACCCCGGUAGUC
RNAcentral lists this ribosomal RNA (443 nucleotides) under uncultured bacterium. RNAcentral's name for it is "partial 16S ribosomal RNA". It matches the Rfam family "Bacterial small subunit ribosomal RNA", at positions 338 to 795 of the family's 1533-position model. The record is from RNAcentral.